GGGAAUGUGGUCUAGUGGUAUGUUACACUCUGACAAUCGAAGAGGCCAGGGGUUCGAUUCCCUUCAUUCCCC
Molecule: transfer RNA, 72 nt
Rfam family: tRNA
About the family: Transfer RNA (tRNA) molecules are approximately 80 nucleotides in length.